UUUACUUAAUUUAUAAUUUUGUAUAUCGUUGUUAUAAAAAUAUUUUUUAAUAAAAUUAAUAUUUAAAAAUUAUUAUAAAAAUUUAAAUCAGAUCAAGAUGCAGAUUAUAAUUAAGAAUAUAAUGGAUUACAAUAAAAUUAUUUAAAUGAAUAUUAAUUUGUAAAAAUUAAUUGAAAGUGGAUUUAAAUGUAAUUUUAUUUAAUUUAAUAAAAUGAUUAAAAAUUAAAAUAUGU
RNAcentral lists this ribosomal RNA (233 nucleotides) under Acrapex vetiveria. Its description in RNAcentral is "partial 12S small subunit ribosomal RNA". The record is from RNAcentral. Lineage: Eukaryota; Metazoa; Arthropoda; Insecta; Lepidoptera; Noctuidae.